UAGGGAAUCUUCGGCAAUGGACGAAAGUCUGACCGAGCAACGCCGCGUGAGUGAAGAAGGUUUUCGGAUCGUAAAACUCUGUUGUUAGAGAAGAACAAGGACGUUAGUAACUGAACGUCCCCUGACGGUAUCUAACCAGAAAGCCACGGCUAACUACGUGCCAGCAGCCGCGGUAAUACGUAGGUGGCAAGCGUUGUCCGGAUUUAUUGGGCGUAAAGCGAGCGCAGGCGGUUUCUUAAGUCUGAUGUGAAAGCCCCCGGCUCAACCGGGGAGGGUCAUUGGAAACUGGGAGACUUGAGUGCAGAAGAGGAGAGUGGAAUUCCAUGUGUAGCGGUGAAGUGCGUAGAUAUAUGGAGGAACACCAGUGGCGAAGGCGGCUCUCUGGUCUGUAACUGACGCUGAGGCUCGAAAGCGUGGGGAGCAAACAGGAUUAGAUACCCUGGUAGUCCACGCCGUAAACGAUGAGUGCUAAGUGUUGGAGGGUUUCCGCCCUUCAGUGCUGCAGCAAACGCAUUAAGCACUCCGCCUGGGGAGUACGACCGCAAGGUUG
Molecule: ribosomal RNA, 550 nt
Filed under: uncultured bacterium
Lineage: Bacteria
Description: bacterial SSU rRNA
Rfam family: Bacterial small subunit ribosomal RNA
Source: RNAcentral